UUCCACCAAGCCAUUCGAGGCAGAUCAAGGCACCGCAGGUCUCACCACCAGGAAACCUAACAAGGAAAUCCUCGAGCAUGAUCGCAAGCGUCAGAUUGAGCUCAAGCUCGUGAUUUUGGAAGAUAAACUAGCCGAACAAGGUUACACUGAAUCUGAGAUCGCUGAUAACCUUGUCGAAGCUAGGAAGGCUCUCGAAGAUGCUCAACAAGAGAAAGACGAAGAAGAAGGAGAAGUCAUACCAAUCCCUACUCACCAGCAAAAGUAAAUUCUUGUUUAUUUAUUGAUUAAUUCAUGUUUUGGAGGUUUUGGUUUUCGGUUACGCAGGCUCACCAAGUGGAUAAUUAGUUUUCGGAUACACAAACUCAUUAUUGAUUUAUGUUCUUUUAUUAUUUAUUGAUUCAUUCAUGUUUUAGUGGUUAGGUUUUCGGAUACACAGACUCACCGCCGCAAGGAAGGAGUAGCAGAUGGAGACCUUUAGGGCUGCUCUCGGUAUUGGAGCUUCUGAAUCUGGGCUUCCCCCUCUGCCAAAUCCUCUAAACAACAUCGAUGAGCGGUCACAUAAUUGUGAUUAGGAUUUAAGGUAUAACCAUUAGGGUAAGAAAAAUAGUAAUAGUAAGAUUAAAUAUUGUAAUUAUAGUAUUAGAUAUUGUAGCACUAUAACGUAAAAUAAAAAAUUAAACGCAUUAUACUAUACCCACUGUUCAUUUGAAUCCACUCUCGCUCAACUUUCAUUCUCAUCAUUCAAUGACACAAUUUCUUCCAUGAAAAACGGUUCAUUAAGCAUCAAAGAAACCUUUUACAAACAAUUUCCUAUUCUUGCACGGUUUCAUAAAAAUUUUAGAGCCAUAAAUGUUCAAAGUACAUUCUUAUCACCCAAAGAUGCAAUUCUUGUCAAUCGAACACGAAUAUAUGAAUUAUCAACUGAUCUAAAAUUGCUAAAAAUUCUUAUUUAAAAGAAAAUUUUUGAGGGAUAUAUUUUGUAAUUUAAAUAAAAAUUUUAUAUAGCUUUUUAAGUUUAUUGUUUUUGACAAAUAAUAAAAUUUUAAAUUUGAUUUUAAAAUGGGAUAAACUUUAACAUGCAAAUAGUUCAAAAGUUUAAAAGUAUUUAAUAGGUGCUGCUAAGACGAUUGGUGCCACUUUUUUUUAUCCGAUCUAAAAAGGAUAAUUACUUCAUCAAGUCCCUAAACGUUUUAUAUAAUUAUAUUUCAAUCCACCCAAAAAAAUUAUUAUUUUUUAAACUAACCAAUAAUUGGAGAAGGUAACAUCAAUGACAAUAGCGUCAUUAUUUAUGUACAUAACUUUUAAAGUAGGCCAUUUUAUAAAUAAUCAAAAGUUUUAAGUCAUUUUUAUAAAAAGCUGAAAAAAAUUGAACUAAAGGAAUGGGUUUCAAGAACUAAUCCAAACAAAUCAUCAAAUCCAAAUCAAAUUUAGGGGUUUCUUUUGGGGGGUGGGGAGCAAAAGGAAAUGAAGGAGGCUUUCGUUUUAAGCUUGAUCUCUACGCUGUGGUAUUUCAAGGAAUUUGCGAAGUUUUCUUCUUCAAUCUUUUGCAGUCACGUCUUCGUCUAGAAAACUGGAAAUUGAAAUGCUUCGUAUUUAUUAUGGAGAACGUAAAAUGUGGAGCAGUGCAGAAAUCGAAACCCCUUCCAACGACAGAUGAACACCUCUAUCUUGCAUGACCAUACCAGGCUCAAAAGUUGAAAACCUGGUGAAUGAUGCUAGGAAAUAAGCUCAAAUCCCUGAACAAUGAUCAAUGAAUAAGUGUACUCUCAUCUAUCGAACCCCAUCUCGGCCUGUUCUCGCAAACAAGAAUUGCUGAAUUCUGAUCAUACCAAAGCUGAAAAGUUAAAACCCUGUAAAUGAUGCUAAGAAUUAGGGCCAACACAUUGUAUUAUAGCUACAACAUAUCAAAAGAUGGCACCAUCACUCAUUGAUGAACCCAUGUUGUUGUACUUUAGGAGCCGUAUCCUAAUCGUUUUCCAUGAAUUCAAGUUUUUGGAUCUGUAAAUACUUUCUUUAUCUCUAGGUAAUAUAUUUAUCACUACAUCUAAUAUUAAUGAGUAAAUAAUUUGUUCUAAUUUUACUAAACUGAAGCAAUUCGAAACACAGUUAAACCAAACAUAUAUAUCACCAAAAUAAAACAAAACUCUAAGAAAGAAACCAAUUUUGACUAUCAAAAUAUGCAUUAGAGCAAAUGUUACUGUUAGAGUUGUGUGAUCCAAAUUUCUAUUAAAGAAAUCCAUGUGUUUUAUUUUUCUCUUCUUAUUGUUUUGUGAUCUUUCUAUAUUACAAUUAUCGACGUUCAGCUUUAUCAAUUACAAAACAAUGGAAGUUUUUAUGAGCUAGAUGAUUAUCUAUUAGCUUAUUAAACACGAUGUGAACAACAAUUGUUUGAACUUUAAUAAUAACACCCUAUUUAGAUUCGAGCGUAAGUGUCAUAUGUGAAUAUAUUUAAUUUUAGUUUCUAAAUGAUCAUACACUAGAAAAGCACUAAACUUCAUAACUUUGCUUAGGUAAGCCCUUAUAUUGUUCUCAAAUAAGUCCUUGUCUUUUUUUUUUUUGCUUCAUUCAAAUUAUUUUGUUUAAAAGCAACAGAACUGUAAUUCCAGUUAAACAAUACAAUUGUCACAAAAGCUAUUAUAACAUGAAAACCAGGCAUUCCAAUCACCAAUUUAACAUUCACUACCAUGCCUUGAGCAUAACCCUGUGAUUUAAUACCUGUUGUCGCUAAUGUUUCUGCCAUUUCAUUGCCAUGCUGCUCUGCUUUUGAAAAUGCUAUCUUACCCACACAGGCUAGUCUCCUUUCCGUAUUUGUGAAUGUAGUUUGUUGCGACCAAGUUCUCUUUAUCCUUUUAUUUGUAUCUAGAAAACUGAUUCGAGUAGACUAUCAAAUAAGCCUUUAACCUAUCAUCUAUAUCCAAAUAUAAGCACUUAAGAGCUUGUUUCAAUACAAAUUGAAGGUUUGAGAGUUCAAUGUGGGUAAAAAUUAAAGGAUAGAAGGUUAUUUUGUACCCAUAUAAAUUUGUAACAAUAAUUACAUGCAAAUAGAAAAAUUCAGGCUUCGUUCAUCCAAAUCGAUAGAAAAAUAAACAUUAAGGGUCUGUUUGAUUGAAGGAAUUGAUUUUCCGGAAAAUCAUUUUUAACUUUUCCAGCGUUUGAUUGGCGGAAAACAUUUUCCAUUUGGAAAAUAAACUCCAAAACAAGGGAAAAUGGGUUACAUUUUAGGGAAAAUAUCUUACCCUUUCAAUUUCCGUAAGACAUUUUCCGUGCUCUCCUCUCUAUCGCCUCCUUCAUUCCUUCCUUCAUUUCCGGUAGAAAAUUGCUUCUGUUUAUCGAUUUCCCAGUAACUUGUUUUUUUAAUUAUUCAAUACUUGUUUUUUUAACAUAAUUACAAAUAAUUUAUUUGAUAUUAAUUUUUUUCAAUUUAUAACGAUUAAUAUUGUAGCUUAAUAAUUGAGUAUUAUUAUAAAUAAAUCAUUGCAAUAUAUGUAAAAAUAAUUUAAAAUAUAAAAAUUUAUUAAUACAUAUCAAUAUAUGUAAAAACAAUUUUUUCGAAAAUAUUUUCAGAAAAUCUGCCAAACAGCCGAAAAUAUUUUACACAGAUUCAAUCAAACAUCAGAAAAUAUUUUCCAGUAAAUCAUUUUACAAAAAAGUAAAACAUUUUCCCGAAAUCAUUUUACGGAAAAUAUUUUACUGGAAAUCAAACAGACCCUAAAUUCAAAUCAUUUAUAAUUUAAAUUUGAAAAUAUAGUUAAUUAUAUUCCUUUCAUCCGACUAUAAAACUAAAUUAUUUAUAUUUAAUUUAUUAAUUUUAAAUUAAAUAAAAUCGAUUUUAAACAAAAUAUUUAAUUAGAAUUUUAUUGACAUUAUAAUAUUCAAAUAAAAUUUAAUUUUAAGUUAAACUAUAUAGAUAGUCAUCAAAUAAUUCAAGAUUUUUAUUUUAGGCAUCCAAAAUAAUAAUAAUAAGUCAUAAUUUGAGCAUUCAUGUUACAUAGUUCGAUUAUUUUGGUCAAUCAUGUUAAAAUCAUGAACGACAAGCUAGUGUGGCAACUAAAAAAUGGUACAAUAAUAAAUCUAACCCUCAAUUUUUAUUUAUUAUACCGAUUUAGUCAUAAUUUUAAAAAAUUAACCCUUAAAAAUUUAAAAUAUUUUUAAUUUAAUUCUAAUUUAAAAAAUUUAAAGAAAUAUAAAUAUUUUUUUUUCAAAAAAUAUAAUAAAUAUAUAUAUAUUUGAUGGUGGGGAGGGAUGGGGAUGGGGAUGGGGAGAGGGAGAGGGAUUAUUUAAUAUAACAUUUAAAUAGUUUAAGAAAUAUAAACUAAUGGUUGAUUUACAUAAUUUACUGAAAAAAAUAUUUAAAAGGUUUAAAUAUGUUAACCCACAAAUUUAAUAAAAUUAAUUUAAUUUUAAAAUAUUAAAUCCAUACUAGGGGCCAAUUUUGGAAAAUAUGCUGAAAAAUAAUAUUUAGUAUCAUAUGUCUAGAAUUUGAUGCAUCGAACAUAUUAUCAUAUGUGUAAUGUCAUGUCCAUUUAUUGUUUCCACGUCUUACUCACUUUAAUAGAUUAACAACUAUCAUUUAUGUCAUAAUUGAAAUUUCAAAAUUCGACAAGUAUAAAGACUUAGAAUGACGCAAUUGGAGAAUAUGGGCUAAAACUACAAAUGUAUGCAUAGUAUAAGACUAGUAGUUAAAUUUAACCAAACGGAUUUAACUGCUACUGAUUGGGUCAAGACUAAUAUUUCGAAUUUUGAAAAGUACAGGGAAUAAAAUUGACCGAUUCAAAAAGAAUAGGACUAAAAGUGAUCAAAUAAAAGGAGAAGAGCUAAAUCCACAACUUGGAUAAAGUACAGGGACUAAUAUCGAAAUUUAACCUAUAUAUAUUAUAAAGGCUAGGGUUAACGGCAGACGAAAGCACAAUUCUCCGUGAGUUUCCUUUCUUUUUCGUUUGAAUUUCUCUGUUUCUGAUUUCCAUUGGUAAAACUAGCAAUUGCAGGUUGUUGAUUUUUUUCUUAAUCGUAAAAUUGAAAAAAAAGAAAUCGCAGAAGAUUUGAGAUAGUGUUUUGAAAAGAAAUCCCUAAAUGUACAACGGAAUCGGACUGACCACCCCUAGGGGGUCAGGCACCAAUGGUUACAUUCAGAGCAACAAAUUCUUUGUAAAGGCGAAGACGAAUUGGGUAACCCAUUCCACCAAGCCUUUCGAGGCAGAUCAAGGCACCGCAGGUCUCACCACCAGGAAACCUGACAAGGAAAUCCUCGAGCAUGAUCGCAAGCGUCAGAUUGAGCUCAAGCUCCUGAUUUUGGAGGAUAAACUCGCCGAACAAGGUUACACUGAAUCUGAGAUCGCUGAUAAGCUUGUCGAAGCUAGGGAGGCUCUCGAAGAUGCUCAACAAGAGAAAGACGAAGAAGAAGGAGAAGUUAUACCAAUCCCUACUCGCCAGCAAAAGUAAUUUCUUGUUUGUUUAUUGAUUAAUAAUGAAUGAUUGAUGUUUUUCUUUUAUUAUUUAUUGAUUCAUUCAUGUUUUGGUGGUUAGGGUUUUGGAUACACAGACCCACCAAAUUGCUGCAAGGAAGGAGGAGCAGAUGGAGACCUUUAGGGCUGCUCUUAGGAUUGGAGCUUCUGAAUCUGGGCUUCCUCCUCUGCCAAAUCCUCGAAAGAACAUCGAUUUUGAUCAAUGCAGACAAGAAACAUGAGGUAACCAUUGGUGUAGGUACCCUAUGAGCCUGAGCCAUAUGACACUUUUCUAAAAGUUCCUUGGUAUAGAUACAACCUUUGAUCGGUGCAGACAAGAAACAUGAGCUAGCCUGAGUUUGUGGUUGAGGGUUUGAUGCGUCUUUUCCUUCAACACUUCUUUUAAAUAAUUUUUACCCUAGCCAUCUGAAUGUGAGCAGUCGAGUAGAAAUGACUUGUGGGAAAUAUGAAUCGUUAAGGGCCAUUGAUCGUCGCCACAGUCAUCACACCUUUUCUCCCUCCUGAUUUGGAGAGAGAAACGUGAAUCGACAAGCUUUUGCGUUUGGAUGCCUUCCAAACCCAUCAAGUUAUUCAAGCUUGACACACACCAAUAGAGGAUCUCAAGUGCUCGAACCUAGUUGCAUCCAACUGGUUGAUAUUGUGUAGACACAAACUUAAGCUCAACAACAUCAUUCUCAGUCAAUCCCCUUAUAAAAUCACGUCUGAUAUCUAUAUGUUUAGUCCUCCAAUGAUACAUUAGAUUCUUGGAAAUGUUAAUGGCAUUUGUAUUAUCACACAAUGCAGUAGCCAUGUCCAAUUCAACACCAAAAUCCAGCUUCUAUAGUUUGCAACGUCAACAAUUCUAAUACCAAAAUUGGUCCAAGAUUAUUAAAUAAAAAGAAAGUUACAAGUACUUAAUGUCUCGAUUAAAGUACAAUGACUAAAUUUUAAAUUUCAAAAAAAUAUAGAGACCUCUACCAUAUUUAAGCCUAUUUAGAUAAAUAAAAGCUAUGAAAGUUUAUUUAAAUAAAUUGGUGAAAUUCAAAAGUUUCGGCCUGAUUUUAUAAAUACUAAUAAUGCCCAAAUUCGUAUUGUGCUUAAAGGUGACCAUGAGUCAGGUCGGGCCUCAAUAGAAUUUUAGGCCCAUUUUUUAGGUUUGGGCUUGACCCAAUUCGAAAAAUAAGCCUAAAAUUUAUUAAGAUUUUCUUAUAUUAUUAUUUUUAUAUAAAUACAAAUUUAAAAAAUAUAACACAUCAAAUACACUAAAAACAUUCAAAUAAAUAUUUCUCAACAAAUUGAAAAUUUAUUUAUACUUAAAUAACACUAAGACAAGUGCAACUUAGCGAGUAAUACUUCGCAAAAUUAAUAAUAAAAUAAGAGUUAUAUAAUAUCCAAACGAUAAUAACAAAAUAGUAACAAAGCAACAACGAAAUAAAAACAAAACAAUAAAUUCGAGUCGGUCAAAAAUAAGAAUUUUAUGUUUAUUAAAUUAUUAAUCUUUAAUAUGUGGAAUCAAGAAUAUAUGAAUUCCAUUUUUAUUGGAAUGAAACAAAAUUUUUAAGAUGAAAUAAUGGUUUUAUGGCUUAAGAAUGACAUUUUAUAAUUAUAAAUAUAAUUGUUAUACUUUUUUAGAAGUGGUGUGAAUUUGAAAAAUUUUGAGCUUCCAAGACGCAUAGUGAUGGUGAUGUUUAUUUGCUGGGUCUAUAAUUGAUUCAACAAUGCACAAACUUAUAUCCAAAAUUGAUCUAAAAGUUCAAGAUUAUUAAAUAAAAUAAAAUACACCAACUCAAUUUUAAAUUUUAAAAAAAUAUAGGGACCUCUCGUAUAUUUAAACCUAUUUAGAUAAAUAAAAGCUAUGAAGGUUUAUUUAAAUAAAUUGGAGAAAUUAAAAAGUUUUAAAUUACAGUCUGAUUUUGUAAAUAUUAAUAAUGCCCAAACUUGUACUGUGCUUAGAGGUGGUGAUCAUGGUUGGGUUGUACUUCAAUACAAUUUUAAACCCGUUUUCGAGGCUUGUGCACGAUCUGACCCGAGCCUAGAAUUUUGUCCAAAUUUGAUCCAGAUAAAAAUGUUAAAACUCAAGUCUUGCCCGGUCCGACUAGUCUGUAUUAAAAAAAUUUAUAUUAUUAUUUUUAUAUAAAAACAAAUUUUAAAAAUAUAAUAUAUCAAAUACACUAAAAAUAUUAAUAUAAAUGUUUCCCAAUAAAUUAAAAAAUAAAUUAAAUUUUUUAUUUAUAUUUAAAUAACAUUGAGGUAAGUGCAACUUAGCAAGCAAAUGUCUCUAAAAUAGCAGUAAAAUUAAUAAUAAAAUAAAAGUUAUACAGUAUCCCAACAAUAACAAUAAAAUAGUAACAAUAUAAUAACAAAACGACACCAAAAUAAUGACAAAACAACAAAAUAGUGAAAAACAACAGUAAAAAGCAGCAGGAUUUUUUAUUUUAUUUUUGCAAAUUUGAGUUGAGUCGGGCAAAAAAAAAACUUACUCGAGUUCAACCUAUUUAGAAAACAAGCAUUUUUUUUGUCCAAACCCUUUUUAAGCUUAUAUUUUUAUUUAAAUCAUUCCAUUUUUCGGACAAAUCUUUAGCUCGGGCGGAAUAAUUUAGCCCAUGAUCAGUGUGCUGAUUUGUUUUAUUGUUUCAAAAAGGAUUAAUGUAUUUUUUCCAUCCUAAAUUUGACACCUAAACGUCGAAGAGGCUGGUGAGUGCAGGGGUCGGAAAGAUGUUGAUGAAGCGGGUUUUAAGGGGGAGGCAGUAGCAAAUGAUGAUGACGCUUUCUUACAUAAUGUUGACUUGGAUUUUUAUAUAACUUUUUUUUAUUUAAUAUUAAUAUUAAUAUUAAUAUAAAAUCUAAAUUUAUUAUAUUUUUUAAAAAUUUUAUGUAUUUUUUAUAUUUUUUAGAAUUUGUAAAUUUUAAGGGUUAAAACUUAAAAUUAUGCUUAAAUUGAUUAAUAUGUAAAAAUUAACUGCUAAAUUUACUAUUAUACUUUUUCCUUUUAACUGUCACAUCAUCCCGUUAGACACUUAAACGGCAAUUAACGAAAAUGAACAAAAAAAAUCUCAAUUAAUUAGGGGACCAAUUUAAAAGAAAAUUAUAGUUGGGUGACCGAAAACAAUAACCCAUAAUUGAGUGACAUAUGAUGUAAUUUAUCUUCUUUUUUUCUUUUUUUUUUGCUAUUUAACUUGCUAUAAUUACAACAUUCCCAUUUAUUUGUAGUGCUCAAACUUUUUUCAAAGUACUAUUAAAUAUAAAUGAUUUGCUAGAUUAUAAUCCAAGCCAUCCCUCCAAUCUGCAAUUUUCCCAUUAUUCAUAUCUAAAACAUGGACAGAAUCACACCAACCAAUAGUAUGUCACUACAUAUAAUCACACCAACUGAUUUAAUUGAUAUAAUCAACAAUAUUUCGAUGGUCAAAUAUAAUUCGCUUGGAAGUCAGUUAAUAAUUUUUUAAAAUUUUCGAUUACCGAUUAAUUUAGAUAGAAAUCAGGUAAUUAACUGAAUUAGUCGAAAUAAAUAAUGUAUUUUUGUAUAUUAUUAAUGAAUUUUUUAACUAUUAUUCUUUAUAUUAAUCGAAAUAAAUAAUAUAUAUUAUAUAUAAUUCAUUUUUUAAUGAACAUUAACAAUGUAAUUUUUUAUAUGUUUUAUAUUUAUUUUAACUAAAAGAUAAAAACAUGUAAAUUUCAUUUAAUUCGGUUAAGUGACUAAAUUAAUCAAAAUAUUUUAGUUGGGUUAAUGAAUUUGAAAAACCUUCAGUUCAAUUAACAGUUAAAGAUUUUUAGAUUUCGAAUAAUUCAAUUAAUAGUAAUUUGAUCCGAUUAAUAACCGAACCAACCGUUUAAACACUCCAACUAAUAAUAUAAGAAUGCAUAAAUAAAUAAGCAAACAUAACUUGAAAACUUCAAAUUACAACAUCCAGCAGCAACAUGCUGGGUAUGGAAAUUUCGUACUUAAAUCAACACUUUCUUUCAACAUCCAAAAAUAAAUAUUUCAAACUUAUUAAAUAAAAUUAUUUAAGUAUUAAUAACAUAAAUAGUUUAAAGAUGUAAUAAAAUAUAUCAAUUAAAACAAAAUAUCCGGUAGAUAUACAAAAUAAAUUAUAUUAUUAUAAGAACAUUUUUGCCUUUUUAUGUUUUACACAUAAUAAAAACUUAAUUAUAAAAGAAUUUAAACCCAUAAACAAUAAUUAUUAAACAUUUAAUUUAACCAUUUCAACUUACAAACUUUUAAUAAACAUAUUUCUUCCACAAUUUAAAAUAUAAAAACAGUUAGAAGCAAGCCAAAAAAAAAAAAAAAGUUAAAAUACAAAAAAAGCCCUCGAGAAUGAGUCUAGCAAAAAUGUCCUCUUCCCUCCGUUGUUUAAAGUCCUUUCAAAAUUAUACACAAAAUAUGCUAACCUAUGCUAUGCACAAACAUGUUUAAAGGGAGCAGUAACUCGAGGUGGCGGAAGAGACGGAGGUGGUGUACGAGGCAGAGGAGAGAAAGUAUCCUAGUCAAUGAUUUCUCCCUCUCCUUCACCAUUCCUCACAAGUUCUGCUACUUUCUCCCUAACAUACAAAUUCACUGGGUCAACUUGAGUGUCAUGUUUUUUGUUGUCGUCAUCAUCUUCUUCUCCUUCUUCACCAGCAUUGUUGUUUUCGAUAUCGUCAUCACCAGCAGCAUCAACGAUACUUUGGGUCAUUGUCUUGUUGCCAGCUUCAAUAUUAUCUUCAGCAUCAAGCAAGGUUUUCUCUUGAACGAUCUCACCCUCGGAUACACCAUCUUUAACAACUACUACAGGAAAUUUCAAGGGCUUCUCAGGCCAAUCCUUAAAGAAAGAAUUCAUAACCAUGAAGCGGAGAACCUGCAACAACCAGCUUUUAUCUUUCCUUAUAUCAGCUCUAAGAAGUUUUUGCAAAAGGGUCGGACUCCUCUUGCUGAAAGAACUGCCAUCAAAUGAUUCCUCAGUUGUUGGUCUUGGCUUCUUGGAAUUACAGUCUCUCUUAUCUGGUCUCCCUCUUUUAUCAUUCCUCAUUCCAAAUCUCCCCCUCUUGGUUGAUGGCCUACGGUUUUCUUCCCUUCCAUUCACCCUUUUCUCCAAACCUAGAAGAUACUGUGGCGGAAUUUCUGCAACUUCGACUCCUAAUUCAGCUUGCUUUGCCAAAAUCUCCUUGAGUUGCUACAACAGAAGGUUACAAUAUAUAAUAAGAAAAAACUUCAGUUACAUAGAUUGUGACAAUGAAGCAUCAAUCUGGCCACCUUGCAGAAUUUUAGUCACUGAAUGCCUGUUUUUAGAUUGAAACAAAUUUAUAAACCCAGAACUGAAAACUUCAGUUAUCUUUUCAUGAGUACUUUAACAUUGUUAGACAUGCUUAGACAAAAUGCCAAAUUUCUCGAAUCUUGGAUGCUAAUACAUUAACUAUUACAUAUAUCUAUGUUAUUUGGACCCGGGUGUGAGUUCAAAUACGGGUAUGUGUCUAACAAGGUUAUGUUCAAUUUGAAGGGUUGUAGUCCCAUACCCAAGUCCAAAUAUGUGCCGGAUACAGGUGUCAAACAAGGAUACUUCAAGAAAAAAGAAGAUUCAGAGCACCAUAGACAUAUAUGCCUAGGACGAGACACAAGGCAGUCUUAUAGGUGGAAAGCAUCAAACGUUUAUUAACCAGAUGGUUCCCUUUUAAGAUGAGAUUGGCCUUAUGCUCGAGCAUAUGCAAUACUAGUAAGUUUUUUAUAGAUCAGGAAAAAUUAAUAAAUGUACCUCGCUACGUGAUUUUUCAACCUCGGAGUCAGCCUCUUUUCCACUCAGUUUCUGCAGCCACGAAAGUCAAUUAUCCUCGAAUGCAUAUACACUUUAAAGGGAACAAAAAGUGAAAUGAAAGAGAAUUCUGCAGCUAUAUCCAACCUUCUUUAUGUUGGCUUUUGUUGGAUAGAACUUCUUACGUUCUUCACGCCACUUUCUUAUCUCUUCCUCCGUAUAGGUCAAAGCAAGCGACCUUCUCAUUUAAGAAAGAAUUGUGGACACAUCAAAGCAGAGAUUAAAAAUAAAGAAUGUAAUUAUAAGAGGAGAGAAAAUACAUGACAAUUUAUAAGAAAUAUUAAUCAUAAGUACAGGAAAAUAAGGUUAUGCUGUAGAUGAUUUCACUAAAAUGUCAAAUGCAAUUGAUUCGGUUCUAUUAGCCUCCCUGUUCGGAAUUAUUAUCAAGGAAAACAUUAACUUUUUCUCAAAAGUAUUUGGAAAGAACAGAAAGAAAAUCCUUUAACAUAGUUACAAGGCAGCUUGUAAAUUAAUUGAAACCUAUGUUGCUUGACUCUUCAUCUCUCUUGAAAUACUUGUUUCUAUUACAUAACCUGACAUAAGUUGGGAGAUAUGACCAUCCAAAGAUCCUCCAAAUACAUGAAAAAACUUUGAAAGAAAAUUGAACAUACCCAUCUCAAGCACAUAUACAUAGUUGACAAUCACAAUCAAGUCCGAAUAACAUAGCUGAAAACUACCUAGGCUGUCCAUACACAUACAUUUUCUGUACCCCAGCAAACAACUAAAUACAGAGAAAGAAAACCAACACACUAAAAUCUUGUGAAAUUUUAAAAGUUCUGGCAUUUAUACCAAAUCAAAACAAGUAAACCAACAGAGCAUCAGCAUUCCUUUUACCGUUUUCAUGCAUACGGUGGGAUUUCAUCCACAACAUUUCAGGCCUUGACUUAUCAUCAAUAGUUCAAACUUAUACAAGCAAGAACUUAAGCACCUCACCGAAACGGAAUCAAUUAAGGGCUAAGUCGGACAACUAAUGGUUUUUUAACAUGAUUGCUUAGAAUUAUUCCAGUUGUGACCACCAUUAAAAUAUUCAAGGAAUUAAGUUUCUAAAAUUAAUCACAUAAAGCUCAUUUAUUUAAACUCAAUGCAAUACAUCCCCAUUUGUCAACUCACUCUAAUCCCAUACCACUUAACUUCUAUUUAAAGUAAUUCACGUAAAUACUCAAGAGAUACCACCAUUCCAUUCUCCAUACCAAUAAAACUCCCAUGAUAAAAUAGUUAUUGCAAGCCAAAGAACUGCUUCAAAUAUAAGAAAGCAUAAAUAGAACUGUCUAUUUUCAGGCUAACCACUGUCAUAAGUGUAGCAGACAUCAUUUGUAAAAAAGCAGUUUCAACUAAAUAAAUGUCUCAUGUUAACACAAAAUUACUCUCAACUGAACGUCUCUGUCAAAAAGCAAAAGUUAUCUUCACAUCUGACAAGCAAGAUUAUGAAACGAGUAUUAGCAAACAGAAGUUACCUUCUCUUUUCUUUAGCUGGGUUUGCAGAAUUAGAAUGAGGAAAUUUAGCUGCCCUCUCAUUAUCAGGCCCUGUUAUUUUUUUUCUCAAGGUGAGGAGAAACUAGAAUUUUUUUUCAAAAGAAACAAAAGAAUCUAGUAGCAAAAAACAAAUAAAAGAAUAAGAAGGUACAAAGGAAACCAAUAUCUAUUUUCAAGUUGUAGACACCAAAAAUGCAAAGUUGUGCAUGGAAAAAAUUGUCUGUCUUGUUUUUUAAAGAGCCAAAACAAAUCAAUUUAUUUCAAACAUAAAGCUUCAGAUGUCUGUACAUUGGUAUUCACAUGUGAAUUCAAAUAAAUCAAACAAACUAUAUCUUCUAAUAUCCCUUUCUUGGGUUUUUAGUUUCCAACAGAUAGAGAAGAAUUUAAGCUUCACAACAGCUUUAGCUCUACCGAUCUCAUACUUCAGUGAUCCAAACCUAUCCCAGAGUACUCUUAAGGUCUUUGCUUAUUUAAGUGUAAACUUCUACACUUUUACCAACUUAUCUGAAAAAUAGAAAACCUUCCAUCUUUUUUUUUUUGCAAUGCUAAAUUAAAUGUUUGAAUAAAACAUAUCUUAAACAUAGUGAUCAACACUAACAGCAAUUUCCAUCGAUCACUCCAUACACCUUGCACAUCCUAUUCUAUUUCCUGAAACCUGUGACUAGCUGGGACUUCCAUCUUAAACCCUAAUUCACUAUUCCAAAGAAAGUCUUGUUUCACCCAGUCGCAGUUUAUUUUCAAUCAGAUCACUGGAAUUACUAGGAAGGGAACAAACACUAUAUCAUAUUCAUUUAUAAUCAAGAUUUUUUUCAAUGAACUCCGACUUGUCCCAGUUGAAUCACUAUAUAAUCUUUUAAAAAGGGGAUUAAAUCAGUUCAUUUAUAAUCAAAUUCCAUUUGAGAUAUAAAGCCAGACGAAGUGACAACUGCAUUAAUAGUGAAAAUGUCAAGUAACUUUUUAUUUUUAUGCUUUAUGACAAAACAAAGAAAAAAGAAAAAAAAAAGUUUAUUUAUCCACAGCCCAAUGUAUCCAAGAAAGACCAUUUAAGUUAUUUGAAAUUCAUUAAAAGGUUAACCUUUUUUCUUAUGUCCAUUAGAAGAUGCAAACGCUCUCUUUCCAUUAUCCGCUUGAUGGAACCGGGGCUGCUGGAACUUAGACUUCUGAGAUCUACAAAAAUUGAAUUUCAGCUGUAUAAAAAGCCAAAAAUCGAAGUCUUUCACAAAGAGAAGCUAGAAACUGUAAGAUGUUUAAGAAUACCAACCCCCAUUUUGAAUCCCUUUUAGCAUUUCUUCCAGGAAAGUUGUUCAUGUUCUGACUGUUUUUACCAGGACCACCCUUCAACAAUUGAAAAGACUUGCAUUAAUUUCAAAAGCCAAAUCAAAAGAUAAAAUAGACACCAAAAACAUUGUGGAAAAGAAAUUUUAACACCAUACAUCAACCAUUUCCAGCUUAACAAUUACGAAACUUUCACAUUAAAUAACAUCAAAGCAGCUUGAGAAGUUCUGCUUAGGGAAAAGGUAUAACAUAAGCUAUUAAGAACCCAAAUGGAGUAUCUCCAAUGGUACGUAUAUCUUUCCAAGUUAAUGCACAACAAAUAAUGCAAAUUCUCAUUUGAUAUCAUCAACUUUUUGAAUCUUCACCGUUAACUUUACAAGAUGUGUUUAACCCAAACUCAUACAUCAAAGAAAAUGGCACGGCUGCACCAUUGGAACUUUGAAAGAAUAGUAUUGCUAAAGUUUAUGCUUUUAUCCACCAAAGGCAAUCAGACUCUCUUAAACCACUUUCAGAGUCAACAUUCACAACCAAACUACCUCCUUAGUUCUAGCACAAAGUUAAAACAGUAAGGGUGUAAAAACAGAUACCAUUGGCCUUCCGAAAGAAGGGUCUCCUGGUACUAGUGAAGCAGGUACAGAAGACAAAUUCGAUGCAUUAACAUCCGCUAAAUUUUGCUGACUCUGAUUGGCUUGCUGCUGCAUCUGGUUUGGCCGCAUAAUCCCGAAAUGCGGAUUCGGAACAAUGGCUUGGCCACCAGAAACAAACUGUGAGAGAUCUGGGAGUUGAGAAUUCAAAAGUUGGCUCACAUUCUGCAAUUGGUUCUGUAAAAAAAGCUGUUGUUGCUGUAGUUGUUGCCGCUGCUGCUGCCCAUUUGUCAAACCCAUAUUAUUUUGUUGAGGCAAAUUCAACCAAUUUGGUUGAUUUGGAUUAUGCAAAGAGUUAUUGAAUUGAGCAGGAAGUUGUGGGAACAUUGCAAGAUUGUUCAUGUUUGGGAAAACUGGACCAAUUUGAGGAAACCCCGUACUGUUAUUUUGUGUAGGAAACUGCUGGUUAGCUCCAUUCAUGAAUCCAACAUUAUUUAGCAAUGGCAUAACACUAGAAUUCUUAUUAAUAUUAUUAAUAUUAUUACUCAACGGAGUUGGCAGCUGAGGAUUAAAAAUACCCAUUUGAGGUUGCAUCAUAAGCAUGUUCAUGUUGUUAUUGCACUGGUUUGCCACCGCAGAAUUUGAUUGAAAACCAUUCUGCUAAAAAAAAUAAAAUCAAAACCCAAAUUUCAAAUUCAAAAAAGAAAAAAGAGAGAGAGUAAGAAAGAGAGAAUCAGAGAGGCUACCUGCUGGGGUCGGUGGGAAAACGAAUUGAACGGAGGUCUCAUUGAGUUACAAUGAGAACUAAAGAUGCCGUCGGGUUUGCCAAUUGAUGAGAGAUAAAUUGCUUGAGCUUUCGCGGUGGAGCGUUUUGAUGUUUUUAGGGUUUUAGAUUGUAAAAAUUGAAAACCCUCUAAUUCUUUGGAGGGUUUUGGUAUGGGUUUUUAGGGUUUUAGAUUGUGAAAAUCGAAAACCCAGCUGAUUAUUGGGCUUACAACAGGCCGUAGGGUUAGUGAUAAUUUUGGCAUAAUGAUAAGUUUAGUCCUUAAUGUUUAUAUUUUCUGUCAAUUCGAUCUUUAUUCUUUUUGAGCUAUCCUUUAAAAAAGAGUCAAAUUAUUUUUUUAAGAUGUUAAUCUGACAACUCGCAUAGCAGUCUAUGUGUACUUAAUGUUGACAUAACAAUAUUUAUUUUAUAUGCUACGUUAACAAAUAAUUUAAUAUAAAAAUAAAUCAAAAUUAUAAAUAUUUCAUAAAUAUUUAUUAGAAAAAAUAACAUGAAGUACAAAUGGAUUGUCACAUUAAUUAAUUUAAAAUUUUAGCCAACAAUUCCAUUAAAAAAACCAUUUCAACUAUUUUUCAAAUGGUUAAUGAUCAAAUUUGACUCUUUUAAAAAGGUUGAGAGAACUAAAUUUAGCUCAAAAAAUAAUAAGAAUCAAUUUGAAAAAAAAAUGUUAACUUUUAAGGGUCAAAUUUGAUAUUGUCCCAAUAACUUUAGCCUUUCAUUUUUCAUAUUGUUAAUUGCGUUAGGUUUAAAUUAUCUUAACCGGCUCUCAGCUCCUCUUUCUUAGUUAAUGUAAGUUAUCAAAAUAUAAAGUUAAUCUCAAUAUUCCUGAAGUAUGAAUUUUAUCUGUAGGACAAAAUUACCCUUUUAUUUAUUUUUAUUAUUUUCAUACUAUUUUUUUCCAUAAAAUCAUAAAAAUUAUUUCAUUUUAAAUUUAUCUUAAAUACUGUUAAAUUAAAUUUUAAAAUAUAUUACAAUUGUAGUGCAUACUAAAUAUUUAAAAAUCAUUUUAAAUUUAAUCACAUAUUAGUUUUGAGAUAAAUGUAUUGAUUUUUAUUUAAAGUAAAAAAAUAUUAGAUAAAAAUAAAUUGAUUAACUAUUUAAAGUAUUUUUUUUACUAUUAAUCUUUAUCGUAUAUGCUUUUUGAUACAAUGCCUGAAACUACCCAUAACCCCCCCAACCCUUAAAUAGGAAGACAAUGUGCUUCAACACACUCAACCCGCGUCUUACCACAUCGGCAACAAUGCCGAUGUCAAUCGAGCUAAGACUCAAUCGAAAUAAUUUCAAAAUUUAUCAUUGCUUAAUACACCAAAUGUAUCAAACGAUUUUACUUAGCACUUCCCCAUAUGUACCAAACUUUAUAAUGAUAUAUAUCAUUAUUAGGAAUGUACAUUGGAAUCUCAAUCCCAACAUCGAAAAAUAUCAAUUACCUCCUGAACAUUGAAGGAGCUAAGCUUGUUAAAAAUUUUCUAUAACAAGAAUAGUAAAUUCUGCUUAUCUAUCAGCCAAACAAAAAAAAAAAAAAAUCAUUCCACCUAAAUAUACCGUACAGGAUAAUAUAACAUUGAUAAAUAAUCUUUCAUUCCCGUAAUUCUAUGACACAGAUAAUCUUAUAGAUCGAUGUCACCUAGAGUUUACUUUCGGUCUGAUGUUUGAAUCCCAUGGCGCUUGAAGAAUUCUCUAAAUCCAUAAGCACUGAGAUCGUAAUUGAACUGCAUAAUACCAUAGAUGUAACAAUAGUUAUAGAUAAUAUAUCAAAUAAUAAUAAAUACAGAAGAGAAUAUUGCAUCAACAGAACUUACAAAAAUACACUUUUACCAGCAUUUAUGUACAUUCAUGAUUGUGAAAUUCUAGAUAGUUGAGUUUAUGUACAGAAACUAAGUGACAGAUGAAUGAAUCUCUAACAAUGGUUAAGCAUAUAAGGGGUUUAAUGUACAGAAUGCCCACAAACCUAAAAUAUUAAAAGCACUGAGAUCGUAAUUGAACUGCAUAGUACCAUAGAUGUAACAAUAGAUAUAGAUAAUAUAUCAAAUAAUAAUAAAUACAGAAGAGAAUAUUGCAUCAACAGAACUUACAAAAAUACACUUUUACCAGCAUUUAUGUACAUUCAUGAUUGUGAAAUUCUAGAUAGUUGAGUUUAUGUACAGAAACCCAAGUGACAGAUGAAUGGAUCUAACAAUGGUUAAGCAUAUAAGGGGUUUAAUGUACAGAAUGCCCACAAACCUAAAAUAUUAAAAGCAUUGUAUAUGUAAAGCACAAUGAAUAUCUGAAAUUUGUGUUUGCAUAUGGAAUCAUAUUGAGCAAAGCAAAAAAAAAAAGCCAAGAACCAGCCCCGAUGAUGCUAACAGAUUUUAGGGGAAAAAGGCUACAAAACUUACAGGUAGAACUUUUACAGAAUAUCUUGUGGUACUUGGAUCGACAACCCUCCCUUGAUCUGCUGCCUGCAAUAGAAUGUUCUUAUUAAAUACAUCAAACAUUCAGGAUCAAGCUCUAAUGUUAUUACAAAAAGUAGACUCCAACAUAAAACAGGGAGCAAGUUAUAAAUUAAAACAUAUUUUGCGCUUGUAAGAUUCAUUUGAAUGCAGCUUGACUGCAGGUGAACUUAUGGAAAAACAUCGUAAAUAAUAUAACUACUAAGCUAUACAAUGUCUCAUAAUUCUCCCUAUCAGUGCACUUUGGAUAGAAAGUGCCUAUGGGCCACAUGUUUAAGUUGCAGAAACAGCCAUUCUGCAAAGCAGAAAUAAAGCUGCAUAGUUCAUAUACUUCCCAGAAUCCAGAGAAGCAUAGCGUAUGCUUGAGCUUCUUUUUUAUCUAUCAGAACUCUCCCUCGAGAUUUAACCGCUGAAAGUGAUCAACUCCAUGGUUCCACAAAAAGUCUAAUCUUGCUUAUAUUAACCAAACCCCACAUUUUAUUCAAACUGAAAUAUAUAUAUAUGUUCACUAGCCACAACAUGCAGCAGAGACUAUUGUUUGUCAUUAACACUUGCUAGCAGCCGUUUAGCCUUCUUUCUUUUGACUUUUAGUUAUUUCCUACACCAACACACUGUCCCAAGUUUAUACUUCAUUUGUCUUGCAACAAAACAGCCACAGAAUAUAUGGGAACUAGUUUUUCAUUAACUCAGAAAAGAUAAGCCUGGUUCAUCUAUUUCUUUCAUUUCCUUUUUAUUUUUUUUUCACCUGACAAGUUAUCUAUAUUGGUCAUUCUCAGCGAGGCAGAAAAGCUAGUAAAUUUUCAUGCAAAACCUUUUCAAGUAAUGAGGUUUUUGCAGGAGUAAACCACAAUGAUUUGGCUACGUGCUUUAGUUCUACAAGGGCCUAAUUGUUAAGAAGCCAUAACUGAAUCAAAAGUAGCUAGAUAGUAGAAAGUUCAAUUGGCAAAUAUGCUUAAGGUUAUUAUAGUUUCAGCAACUAUUACACUUCUGUAUGUUAAACAAAAAUCAUACAAUCCUUGAACAACCCCGCACUAGUCAACUUUAGUUCGGAAUGCUUUAAUCAGUUAACAGCAACUGGUUACAACAGACCAAAGCAAGCAAAUGGCGCAGUAGAGGGAGAAAAUAGAAAUAAAGAGAAGUUGCAUACUUGCUCUGGACUAUGAAAUAUUUCAAUGAAUGGGUAUUCAUUCUUCUGCCGUGUUAUACAAAACCCUGGAUAUUUUGGGCACUCAACCUGCAAGAGAAUAACACAAGAAACUAAGAUGUGAGUGCAAAGAAAGAACAAAGAAACUAACCCAUAUAGUAAGUUAGCACAACUACUAUCACCAUAUGACAGUAAUCACUACAAAAUUUAGGGUAGGUACAUAAAAGCCUCUCCAAUUUCAUAAACCUCAUUCCCCAUCCCCAAUGUUCAAAUCCAAGGCCCCGAAAUUGAAAGUCAUAGGAUAUCCGCGUAAGUUGGACAAGGGUUUAUACUAAGAACAGCCAAUUUAAAGUGAAAAUGCUAAAAGAAUAGAAGCAUGGUGAAGAGGCCCCUGUACAAGCAGCCAGAUUGCAACUCAAAAAAUGGGUAAAUUAGUUUUUGUACGUUAGAUCAAAGAGCAAACUCGUCAAAAUACAGAAAUAACCAUUUUCGUCUUCGAACUAACGUAUAGGGGCUAAUUUGCCCUUUUUUUGAGUAGAGGGGCAAAAUACAUACAAUGGCCGCCACGGUACUUUUACCAUAGAAGCAUAUACUCUCAUACUACAAUACAACCACUCUACAACAUCGCUAUGAUGAGACUGUAAAAAUGUUUAAGUAAUGACCUGUUUCAGCAUUUACACAUUAUCAGAAGAAGAAGAAGAAGAAGAAACAUACGCGCAUAAAUUUAACAUUCGGAUAGAACUCAACAGCAGCUUCCUCCAGUACUUUGUCAAGAUGCUUUGUGUAGUUCCCCCUGCAAUAUACAUACAGGAUGAGCUAGGGGAAUAUACAUACAAUGGGUAAAAGGAGGGAUGGGGUUUUAUAUGACCUGAUAGUGAAUGCAACAACAACGGGAUGACCUUGCUGAAGUAGCUGUACAAAUUCACGCUCGGAUUUGAAAUGAAUAACUCGUGAUGGUCCAAGAUCUUUAGGAUAACCAGUAUAAUACCUUCAAAUUUUAACAAGAAAAUAAACAUAAACAUGAAUGCUUUAUCAUACAACAUUCAAAUUGAUACUACAAUUUAUCUGCUUAAAACUUGAUAGAAAAAAAAAAUCAAAAAUUGAAUUGAAUUUGCAAGAUCAAAGAUAAAUGAAAACUUAUCUUACUUGCAAGAUGAACGGAGAUGGGUGAUCAUUCUAUCAAAAAAUGAUUGCUCCAUUUUUGGAAAGACAAGCUGAAUCUGAGUCACUAAACCAGAAGCUAAUUUUUUUUUAAUACCAGAGACAUAGAAGAGCUAAGAGAAAGCAAUAGAAGAAAAGAAAGGCAGAAAAGUUUUACUAACCUGGUUUUGGCCAAUGGAGAAGAAUGAAAUGCUGUUGACUGGCCUGCAAAUUGAAACAAAAAAAAUUUGGGGAAAAUAUUUUUGGUAAACUAGGAGAAUAAACGAAAAUGGUGGCUCUGCAAAAGCGUUUUGAGUUUGGGACAAAUUAACAUUUUAGUACCGCAUUUGUCAAUUUUUCUCAACUUAGUCCCUGAACUUUUUUCUCAUUAGUCCUUUAAUUUUACAUUCUUUUCUAGUUUUGAUCUAUGUGAUAAUGCCACAUUGCGAUAUUGCUCCACCUAGAGCUGUCCAUGAGUCGAGUCGAAGCUUAAUCCCAACAAAAAUUUCAUUUCGAAGUCCAUUUUUUAACUAACUUCGCCCGUUCCAAAAACUUAUUUUACUGUUCAAAAAUUAAUAAAUUUAUAAACAAAUAUAUUUUUAAUUGAUAUUUUACAAUUAUAUUUAAACUUAAAAAUAUUUUUUAUUUAUUUAAAUUGAAUUCAAAUUGAUUAGGCCGUACCCGAGACACAAAUAUCCUUUUUCAAGUCUAGCCCAAAUUGGAUUGGGCCUAUUGGGCUGGGCUACAGAUAGGUCUAGUGCCCCCAUCGCAUAAAAAAACUAAAAAUUUUAAAAAUUUUAGGUGAAGAUAUGGAAAAAAGUGAAAGGAUUAAAUUAAAAAUUUUGUCAAGAUUAGGGACUAGAAGUUAUUUUAUCCCUUUGAGUUUUGAUUUGGGUAAGAGGAUUAGUUAGAUUUGAUGAUUUUAUUUUAAUUUAGUCUGUAACACCCCCUAACCCCAAACCGUCACCGGAACAGGGUUAUGAGGUAUUACCGGACAUAUCAAACAAUUUACAAAUAAUUCAUAAAUAAAUAACCAACAUAUUAAAAUAAUUCAUAAAUUGUUAUAAAAUUUCCUACUUGAUUUCAUUUUUAAAAAAAAAAUUCGGCAGCAUUUCUACUUAUUUUUACAUAAAACCCCCUACAAAAUUUCAAAACAUAACCAACCCAAUUCCAGUAUUUCAAUCAAGGCAUUUAUAUAAUUAAAUCUUACUUGACAUAUUGACAUAACAACUUAAUUAAUAAAAAUCCUAUUAUCAUUUCUAAUUAACUCAUAAAACUAAUCAAGUCAUUUCAAUUCGAUACCAAUGCCAUAAAGGACUUCUACUAUUUUACUAAUAUAAUCAUCAAAACACAUAAUAUCUUACUUUACAACAAACCUAUAUAAAAUACCAAAAUAACUAUUAUAAUUCUUAUGUACAUGCUACUUUCAUUUAGAGAAGAAAACAUCACCGAAAUCUCUAUGUAGGAGUCGAGAUUGACCGGAUGUUGAACCGAGACUUAGACCCCUUUUUCAACCUACGCACGGAAACAACCGUACGCUGAGUAUUUUGUACUCAGUGGUAUUACCAUAAUUCAAAUUAUAAUAGCAAUAAAGAAUUAUAAUUAUGAAGCAUGUAACUAUCCAAUUUUUUAAAUAUCAUUUAAUUCAUAAAUUUUCAUUAUUUAACAAUAACAAUACAAUUUUUAGCUAUUCUUCAUUCUCAAUCACAUAUCACAUGUAGCAAUUUUUGAUCACUACAUAAACAUUAAAUUUAUGUCUUUUAUUUUCAAUAUCAAUUUCAAUCUAUAAAUUUUAAAUUUUCUCAUAUUCAAUUAUUCACCCUAUUAACAAUCUGGACUUUGACGGAUACACGGAUUUCAACUCAAACACACUAAUACGGCACAUUGUGCCUAAAACGGUACAUAGUACCUGAUCAGUGUACGACACAUAAGUGCCUGAAACGACACACGAGGUGCCUGAUACGACACAUAAAGUGCCUGAUCGGCAAAGCCGAUAAAUCCCGUACUCUUCCAAAAUCCUAUGGCAUGCCAACUAUAUCCGAUUUAGCCCCACUAGUUAAUAGGGUAUUCAAAUUCUCAACUCUCUUUCAUUUUCAAUUCGAGAUCACUUUUUCACCUUCUAAUCAAUUAACAAUUUAAUACCAAUACAUAUUUCAAUUCAAUUAAACCACUUUUCAAUCAUUACACAAUUCACAUAUUCACACAUAUUCAUAAAUUAAUUCACUUUAUUUAAUACAUAUUUUAAAUUAAUUCUUUAAUCAAAUUCAAAUCACUAAAUACUUUUUAAUCAAUAUACAUUUCAAAUACUCACAUAUUUCCAUCAUUCGAUUCAAUUUGAUUUAGUUCAAGUCACUAUUAUCAUUCCAAUUGCUUACCUAAUUUUACUUACCAUGCAUUUAAUUAAAACAUAACAAUUAAUAAUAAAUAAAUUUGAAUUAUAGUAAUACAAACCCGAAUUUGCUCGAUUAUUCCUCAACGACCUUCUCCUUCCCUUUUUGUGCCGAUACCUCGAAUUCUUUAUUAGCUACAAAAAUUAAAUAAUUAAUUAAUUAAUUACAGCACAAAUUUUUACAAUAAAAAUAAAAUUUCUAUCAAAUUUUAUACUGUAAUUCCAAUUAAAUUCUAACUAGAUUUAUCUACUUUUCUAAUUUAAUUCACACUCUAUUUCUAUUCAAAUUUCUUCUAAACUCAAAUUUAUCUACUAAAUUUUCAGCAUUUUUCACUAAUUUCGAAUUUCUCUCAAAUUGGUCCCCAAAACAUAAAACUUAUAGUUUCUUUUACAAUUUAAUCCCUUUAUCAAUUCUAACUUAAAAUUCAUUCAAUUAAAUCCCUAAUUCAACAAUUUAUUCAACAUGAACCAUGCUUAAAAACCUAUAAACUUCCAAAACCUCAACUUAACUUCAUCGAAACUCUACUCUAAAGCUUCUAAAACAUCAAAAUUAAAAGAAAAGGGCUUAAUUGACUUACCAAAUUAACUCCAAGCUUUAAAAACCCUAUAUUCCCUUUUUCUUUCUUUUUCUUAUUUAUUUCCCCUGUCUUCGGAAGAGCUUCUGUUCUUUUUCUUCUCUGUUUCUUUCUUUUAUUUUAUUUUAUUUCUUUUAUUGUUUUUAAUUACUAAACAAUUAAUAUAAUAUUAAUAUAAUAUAUCUUAUGCUUACAUAUUAAGUAAACCAAGUGUUUAAUUGCAUUUGUACAUAUUUAUUUUAUUACACUUGUAUAAAUUUUAUACCAUUUAUUUGUCAAUUAUCUUAUUUAUUUAAUAAAAAUCUAUUUAACAACAAUUAAUAGUAUUACAAAUGUACAUAUAUAUUUUAUUUAUGAAUGUACAAUAUCAUCUAUACCAUACAUUUGUCAUUACUUAAUUUGUUUAUCAAAUAAAAAUAUCAUAAUAUAAUUAUUUAAUUAAUAAUUAUCUUUUACUAAUUUUCAAGUAAAUAAAUAAAUGCAAUACACUUGUAUUUUAUUUUUACCAUACACUUGGCAAAAUCAUAAUUUUAUUAUUAACCAAAAAUUGUAUACUAAUUAUUUAAUUAUUAAAUAUCUUUUAAUUUAAUAAUUACUAAUAAUAAAUAAUAAAUAUCUUAUACUUAAUUAAUAAGCAAAUUAAAUCUAAAAACUACAAAUAUAUACAUAUUUUAAUUACACAUGUAUUAUUUAUCAUAUCCAUACAACUGACAUAUUUUGAUUUAUUUAAUAAUAUAAUAUCAUUAUAAUUUAAUUAUCAUAAAUUCAUAUAAUAUGAAUUAUAUUUAAAUAUCAUUAAUUAUAUAAUUAAACAAAUAAAAUCUUAAAUUCUAUUCCUUUGUGCCGCCUCAACUAUGCUAAAUGGCUUAAUUACCAUUUUAGCUCUUUUUACUUUCUUUUAAUCUAUAAUUAAACUUUCACUUCUAUUGUAAUUUAAUCCUUUUUACUAAUUACUCUUAAUUAAGCUAAAUUCACCUUUCUAAACUAGUCUAAUAAAUAUUUCUAAUAAUUAUUUUUUAAUUCAAUUUACUAAGACGGAGGCCCGAUAUUAUACUUUUCCGAUGCCCAUGAAUUUUAGGUCAUUACAUGGUCUUUAUUAUUUUUAUAUUAGAAAUUAUGAAUUUUAUGUUUAUUAAUUUAUUAAUGUUUUAUAUGUAGAAUCAAGAAUAUAUGAAUAUUAUUUUUAUUGGAAUGUAACAAUAUUUUUAAGAUGAAAUUAUGUUUUUAUGGUGUCAUCAAUCAAUUUAAGAAUGAGGUUUUAUAAUUAUAAAUCUAAAAUUUAAGAAUGUCAUUUUAUAAUUAUAAAUAUAAUUGUUAUAUUUGUUGAUAAAUUGUGUGAAUUUGAAAAACUAUACACUCUCAAUGUACAUAACGAUGGUGAUUAUGAUGUUAUUUGUUAUAUUUGUAAUUAUAAUAAACGCAACACAACUGUAAAUGCAUUUUAAAUUAUUUCUAGUUUGCGGUACGACUUCCUUCAAAGAUUAGAUAAUGAAAGAAAAUGGGAGUAUGAAUUAUAAUAUGAUCUAAUGGUGGAAGCCAAUCCACUAUUAGGGACGAGCGUUUUAUCGGAUUGAGUGAAAAUUUUUGAGUUGUUGAGUAUUAUCUUCUUUUUUUUUUUCAAAUCGAGUUUAGUGAAAUGAAAUUUUAAAUUUUAGAUAAAAAUUAAAUUAAAUAAUUUAAUUAAUUUUAGUAUUAUAAUAACAACUCUGCUAAGACUAUCAAGUAAUACAAAUUUCUCUACAAUUUAUUUAACUGAUUUUGAUGUUUAAAAUUUUUAAAUUUAAAUAUUGAAAAAAAUUAAAACAUUCGGUAAGAGUGUGAACAAGUACAAAUUGUCAAAUUUGUAAUGAUCUUUUUAGUUUCUACCGCUAUUUCACUUUAAUUCUUAAUUUUUUUACCCAACCAAUACUACAAAAAGAUAAAUUUUCGGGUGAUUAAAAUGAAAGAGAUCUAGCAAUUGAGUGACCAAAAUGAAAGUAUAAAUAUGAGGUAGCGUUUACAGUAGAUAACAGUUAGAGAUCCAAUGCCUGAGUGACUAAAAUGAAAGUGCCCUAAAACUUAGGUGACAAAAUUGCAAGGGUAAUAAAAAUUAUGCUAUUAGUCACUUUACUUUGCAAAAGUUGAGGAUUUAAUUCAUGUACCUUUAUUUGGUUAUUUUUAGACUUUAGUCCUUGUACUUUCCACAUUUUAAAAUUUCAGCUAUCACCGAACAAUAAUUGUAAAAUUCAUUGUGUAAAGUUUUGUUAUUUUCAAAAUCUGAUGCGCCAAACAUAUUAUCAUAUGUGUCAAGACUAAAAUUUCAAAAUUCGACAAGUAUAAGGACUUAGAAUGAUGCAAUUAGAGAAUAAAGUCUAAAACUAUAAAUGUAGCAUAGUAUAAGACUAGUAAUUGAAUUUAACUAAAUAGAUUUAAUUGCUACUGAUUGAAUUAAGACUACCAUUUCAAAAUUUGAAAAGUAUAGGGAUUAAAACUGAUCGAUUUAAAAAAUACAGGACUAAAAGUGUUUAAAUAAAAGGAUAAGAGCUAAAUCCACAAAUUGGGUAAAGUACAGGGACUAAUAGCGGAAUUUAAGAUAUAUAGAUAGAUUAUAAAGUUAGGGUUAUAUCUAAAACUCGAUUUUGAAAGGCAGAACAGAGCACACGAGUCGAUCGCAAAUCUCCGUGAGUUUCCCUUCUUUUUUAUUUGAAUUUCUCUGUUUCUGAUUUCCAUUGGUAAAAGUAGCAAUUGCAAGUUGUUGUUUUUUUCUUAAUCGUAAAAUUGGAAAAAAAUAAAUCGCAGAAGAUUUGAGAUAGGGUUUUGAAAAUCCCUAAAUGUACAACGGAAUCGGACUGACCACCCCUAGGGGGUCAGGCACCAAUGGUUACAUUCAGAGCAACAAAUUCUUUGUAAAGCCGAAGACGAAUCGGGUAACCGAUUCCACCAAGCCUUUCGAGGCAGAUCAAGGCACCGCAGGUCUCACCACCAGGAAACCUAACAAGGAAAUCCUCGAGCAUGAUCGCAAGCGUCAGAUUGAGCUCAAGCUCGUGAUUUUGGAAGAUAAACUCGCCGAACAAGGUUACACUGAAUCUGAGAUCGCUGAUAAGCUUGCUGAAGCUAGGAAGGCUCUCGAAGAUGC
RNAcentral lists this long non-coding RNA (26129 nucleotides) under Gossypium raimondii (Peruvian cotton). Its description in RNAcentral is "long non-coding RNA (GRAI_LNC008703)". The record is from RNAcentral. Lineage: Eukaryota; Viridiplantae; Streptophyta; Magnoliopsida; Malvales; Malvaceae.